Molecule: ribosomal RNA, 513 nt
Filed under: Dacus famona
Lineage: Eukaryota; Metazoa; Arthropoda; Insecta; Diptera; Tephritidae
Description: partial 16S ribosomal RNA
Rfam family: Bacterial large subunit ribosomal RNA (bases 389-513)
Source: RNAcentral
GUCUUUUUGAGUUAUUUUAAAAGUCUGACCUGCCCACUGAAUUUUUUUAAAUGGCCGCAGUAUUCUAACUGUGCAAAGGUAGCAUAAUCAUUAGUCUUUUAAUUGAAGGCUGGUAUGAACGGUUGGACGAAGUAUAAGCUGUUUCAUGUAAAUUUAUAGUAGAAUUUUAUAUUUUAGUCAAAAAGCUAAAAUGUAAUUAAAAGACGAGAAGACCCUAUAAAUCUUUAUAUUUUAUUUAAUUUAAAUUUUUUUGAUUUUUUUUAUUUUUAUUAUAUUAAAUAUUUUGUUGGGGUGAUAUUAAAAUUUGAUGAACUUUUAAUUGUUUUAAAUCAUUAAUUUAUGAAUUAUUGAUCCAUUAGUAGUGAUUAUAAGAUUAAGUUACUUUAGGGAUAACAGCGUAAUUUUUUUGGAGAGUUCUUAUCGAUAAAAAAGUUUGCGACCUCGAUGUUGGAUUAAGAUAUAGAUUUAGGUGUAGCCGCUUAAAUACUGAGUCUGUUCGACUUUUAAAUUCUU